UGAAAAUUUUCUUUUACAGCAAGAAUAGUAACCACUUUAAUGACCACCAAUGAUCUUACAAUUCUUAUACGUUUUGUGGUCAUGCUGGCUUUAAACAUCUGGGUAACCGCGACAGUACUUCGCUACCGGAAGGCCAUUUUCAAGGCUGAAUGAUGGAAUCACUGUUCCUACACACAGUGGAUUUCGAAUCACUGAACCAGAGGAAAGAAAAGCUCAUUGUUAAGUCAAGGUCUUUUAAAAUUUAGUCAAUCAUUUUAGAACUUUGAAGCCAAAGGAAUUUUAGGCUUGAAAGAGCCACUUAAACAUGUUUAAAAAUGACUUCCCAUUCCCUUCCCCCAACCCCUUCAUUAGUUUAAGUCAGGGCUCAGAUAUCUGCAGUUUUGAGAAGGUUGGUGAUUGAUGGAAAUCAUCCAAGCCUAUUUUGAGAUCGCUUUCAUUAAGUCCUCUCCAGCAAGCUAACUAGAACUCGCUGGUUUUUCUCAGCUGUCAGAAUCUUUUAAGAAAUCAAUCCUGUCCACGGCACAAAUGAACAUGGAGUAGAAUUUUGCUCAAUGUCAGAAGUGGAACUGUAAUGAAUUACUCGGGUUCCCUUUCUGGGACUAACGUUUAAUUGUAACACAGAUGUAACAGGAUGGCCUUAUUGUAUCAUAAUACAGUUCAAUACCUCCUUAGGUUAUAUAGGUAUAUCAGGGCAAGCAAACAUGUAACUAACUGGCUUGAGAUUCACAUACCAAAGUUGUCCUUUUGCUUCAUACUGUGCCUUUAAGUAAUCCCUAACAAAAGGUAUGAGGAGGCAAUCCCAAUAAACGUAUUCACUGUGCUGCCAUUUUUAUAAGGGCCACAUCUAUACAAUUACCGUUAUUAGAAUUAGAUACAAAAUACAGCUGACCUGGGCUGUUUUGUGUAUUGAAAAUAUAUGCAGUAGGGGCACCCCAGUUGGGACCCCAUCUUGUUUUGAGAGCUGUUACUUUUGCUCUAAUAAAACUAUCCUCUGCUGUAAAAAAAAUAAAAUUAAAAUUAAAAAAAGAAAAUAUAUGCAGUAAAGGGUAUUGCUGAGUUCUGCAAAGUUCUUAUGGAUUUUAUUUUCAUUAUAAUACCAUAUUCUAAGCAUAAGAUUACUGGACAGUGCAUUUUCAGACAAAAGUUUAUAAACCCCAACAUUUAAAAACUCCCCCUUUUUGAAUGGCAUUAUUCUGGUAUAUGCAGUAAGUAAAUGAUGUUUAUUAGAGAACAUUUUAAUUUCCUCUGUAAAUAAACUUUCAUAUUUUGAACUCUG
This is a long non-coding RNA of Hipposideros armiger (great roundleaf bat), 1276 nucleotides long. RefSeq lists it as uncharacterized. Lineage: Eukaryota; Metazoa; Chordata; Mammalia; Chiroptera; Hipposideridae. The record is from RefSeq and is a predicted model, not a curated record. The transcript is spliced from 2 exons.